This 61-nucleotide microRNA precursor is filed under the name Eisenia fetida (common brandling worm). RNAcentral's name for it is "Efe-Mir-67-P1_pre stem-loop". The record is from RNAcentral. Lineage: Eukaryota; Metazoa; Annelida; Clitellata; Crassiclitellata; Lumbricidae.
CCUUAUUCAGUAGAGUCGUGAUGGUGACAAGAAACUCAUCACAACCUACAUGAAUGGGGUA